RNAcentral lists this ribosomal RNA (208 nucleotides) under uncultured Sneathia sp. RNAcentral describes it as "partial 16S ribosomal RNA". It matches the Rfam family "Bacterial small subunit ribosomal RNA", at positions 135 to 354 of the family's 1533-position model. The record is from RNAcentral. Lineage: Bacteria; Fusobacteriati; Fusobacteriota; Fusobacteriia; Fusobacteriales; Leptotrichiaceae.
AGUAGUAUAUAUAGUAGUAGUAGUAAGUUAUAGUAGUAGCAUUACUAAGUAAUGAAAGGUAGCAAUACGCUAUAUGAGAGCUUUGCAUCCUAUUAGCUAGUUGGUGGGGUAAAAGCCUACCAAGGCGAUGAUAGGUAGCCGGCCUGAGAGGGUGGACGGCCACAAGGGGACUGAGAUACGGCCCUUACUCCUACGGGAGGCAGCAGGC